This 253-nucleotide ribosomal RNA is filed under the name uncultured bacterium. RNAcentral describes it as "partial 16S ribosomal RNA". It matches the Rfam family "Bacterial small subunit ribosomal RNA", at positions 524 to 776 of the family's 1533-position model. The record is from RNAcentral.
UACGGAGGGUGCGAGCGUUGUCCGGAAUCACUGGGCGUAAAGGGCGCGUAGGCGGCCUGAUAAGUAGGGGGUGAAAUCCUGCGGCUUAACCGCAGGGCUGCCUUCUAAACUGUCAGGCUCGAGCACAGUAGAGGCAGGUGGAAUUCCCGGUGUAGCGGUGGAAUGCGUAGAGAUCGGGAAGAACACCGGUGGCGAAGGCGGUUCUCUGGGCCUUACCUGACGCUGAGGAGCGAAAGCGUGGGGAGCGAACAGG